This 348-nucleotide unclassified non-coding RNA is filed under the name soil metagenome. RNAcentral describes it as "partial contains 5.8S ribosomal RNA, internal transcribed spacer 2, and large subunit ribosomal RNA". The stretch from base 1 to 120 matches the Rfam family "5.8S ribosomal RNA", at positions 35 to 154 of the family's 154-position model. The record is from RNAcentral.
GAUGAAGAACGCAGCGAACUGCGAUAAGUAAUGUGAAUUGCAGAAUUCAGUGAAUCAUCGAGUCUUUGAACGCACAUUGCGCCCCCUGGCAUUCCGGGGGGCAUGCCUGUCCGAGCGUCAUUGCUGCCCUCAAGCACGGCUUGUGUGUUGGGCCCCCGCCCCCCGGCUUCGGGGGGCGGGCCCGAAAGGCAGCGGCGGCACCGCGUCCGGUCCUCGAGCGUAUGGGGCUUCGUCACCCGCUCUGUAGGCCCGGCCGGCGCCCGCCGGCGACCCCAAUCAAUCUUUCCAGGUUGACCUCGGAUCAGGUAGGGAUACCCGCUGAACUUAAGCAUAUCAAUAAGCGGAGGA